Chelonoidis abingdonii (Abingdon island giant tortoise) is the source of this 93-nucleotide microRNA precursor. NCBI's taxonomy places the organism in Eukaryota, Metazoa, Chordata, Testudines, Testudinidae. The record is from Ensembl.
UACCGCAGGGAAAAUGAGGGACUUUUGGGGGCAGAUGUGUUUCCAUUACACUAUCAUAAUGCCCCUAAAAAUCCUUAUUACUCUUGCAGUAUU